Molecule: ribosomal RNA, 459 nt
Filed under: uncultured bacterium
Lineage: Bacteria
Description: partial 16S ribosomal RNA
Rfam family: Bacterial small subunit ribosomal RNA
Source: RNAcentral
CCUACGGGAGGCAGCAGUGAGGAAUAUUGGUCAAUGGACGAGAGUCUGAACCAGCCAAGUAGCGUGAAGGAUGACUGCCCUAUGGGUUGUAAACUUCUUUUAUAUGGGAAUAAAACAGGGUAUGCAUACCCUCUGGUAUGUACCAUAAGAAUAAGGAUCGGCUAACUCCGGUCCAGCAGCCGCGGUAAUACGGAGGAUGCGAGCGUUAUCCGGAUUUAUUGGGCUAAAAGGGUGCGCAGGCGGAUUUUUAAGUCAGCGGUAAAAUCGUGGGGCUCAACCCCAUACAGCCGUGGAAACUGGGGAGCUAGAGUGUACGAGAGGUAUGUGGAAUGCGUGGUGUAGCGGUGAAAUGCGUAGAUAUCACGCAGAACCCCGAUGGCGAAGGCAGCAUACCGGUGUAUAACUGACGCUCAGGCACGAAAGCGUGGGUAUCGAACAGGAUUAGAUACCCCGGUAGUC